RNAcentral lists this small nuclear RNA (322 nucleotides) under Dipodomys ordii (Ord's kangaroo rat). Its description in RNAcentral is "7SK RNA". It matches the Rfam family "7SK RNA". Rfam says of the family: 7SK was discovered as an abundant small nuclear RNA in the mid-70s but a possible function has only recently been suggested. Two independent studies have found that 7SK RNA binds the CDK9/cyclin T complex (known as elongation factor P-TEFb). P-TEFb activates transcription by phosphorylating the C-terminal domain of RNA polymerase II. Lineage: Eukaryota; Metazoa; Chordata; Mammalia; Rodentia; Heteromyidae. The record is from Rfam by way of RNAcentral.
GUGUGAAGGCAAGCUGGCUGUGACAUGUGUCACCCCAUUGAUGUCCAGGGUCAAUUUGGCUGAUCUGGCUGGCGAGGUGGAUGUCCCCUUCUUCUCUCACUGCCUGCUGUGUGUCCAUCCCUAAGCUACAUGCUUUGUCAAAGAAGACAACCAUCCCCAGUAGAGGAGGAUCUGUCAAGGGCAUAUGAGUAGCUGCACUCCCCUGCUAGAACCUCUAAACAAGCUCUCAAGGAGCAUCUGUUGAGUUAGACUGUAUACCAAUCUGACCAACUUACUUUAUAAUCUUAGGCCAUUUGAUCUUCCUGAAUCUUAGCUUAUUCAU